ACUGCACCUCGAUAGGCGAGGCUCCUGCGUGAACAUAGGCCACUGAUCUGACGACGUCGAGAGACGCCCAAGGUUAGGACAGAUAUCUUCGGAUUAAGGGGAUAUCCAAAGUGGCUUUCCGAUUCGGAACACGUCGCGCAGUGCCAAAGCUCUGACGAGAGGGGUGCGUG
RNAcentral lists this small RNA (170 nucleotides) under Nocardia terpenica. Its description in RNAcentral is "Magnesium sequence". It matches the Rfam family "M-box riboswitch aptamer (ykoK leader)". Rfam says of the family: M-box riboswitch, also know as ykoK leader is described as a metaloregulatory RNA that sense divalent metals and function as a genetic control element of genes related to divalent metal transport in bacteria. It was first reported upstream of the B.subtilis ykoK gene and genes with related functions in other bacteria. The record is from Rfam by way of RNAcentral. Lineage: Bacteria; Bacillati; Actinomycetota; Actinomycetes; Mycobacteriales; Nocardiaceae.